This 1194-nucleotide ribosomal RNA is filed under the name Triticum aestivum (bread wheat). Its description in RNAcentral is "partial small subunit ribosomal RNA". Lineage: Eukaryota; Viridiplantae; Streptophyta; Magnoliopsida; Poales; Poaceae. The record is from RNAcentral.
AUGGCGCCUCCUCAGUCCGACGAGCAGCUCGUCGACGAUCCUGCCAUGGUGGACAUUACUCCUCCUCACCCCGACGAGCAUUUCAGUGAUGAGCCGGCCGUGGAAGACACAGCCCCUCCUCGAUUCUCCGACGAGCAACAACCCGGCAGCGUGCCGCAAACCACGCUGAUGCCGUACGCAGCCGUGGACUCGUCGCUGCGCGCCAUGGCCGGCCAGGCCGAGGGCUUCGGCCGGCACGCCAUCGGCGGCCUCCACGGCGACGUCUACCACGUCACCACCCUCAAUGACGACGGGCCCGGGUCGCUGCGCGACGGUUGCCGUCGCCAGGAGCCGCUGUGGAUCGUCUUCGACGUGUCCGGCACCAUCCGCCUCGCGUCGGGGCUGCGCGUGUCCUCCCAGAAGACCGUGGACGGCCGCGGGCGGCGCGUGACGCUGUCCGGCAAGGGCCUUCUUCUUCGCGAGUGCGAGCACGUGAUCCUGUGCAACCUGGAGGUGGAGGGCGGGCGCGGGCACGACGCCGACGCCGUCCAGAUCAAGCCCGGGUCGAGGCACGUGUGGGUGGACCGCUGCAGCUUGCGCGACUUCGCCGACGGCCUGCUGGACGUGACCUGCGGCAGCACGGACGUGACGGUCUCCCGGUGCCGCUUCUCGGCGCACGACAAGGCCGUGCUGAUCGGCGCCAGCAGCGAGCACGUCGUGGACCGGCGCAUCCGGGUGACCAUCCACCACUGCCUCUUCGACGGCACGCGGCAGCGGCAGCCCCGCGUCCGGUUCGGCCGGGUGCACCUCUACAACAACUACACCAGGGGCUGGGGCAUCUACGCCGUCUGCGCCAGCGUGGAGUCGCAGAUUGUCUCCCAGUGCAACAUCUACGAGGCAGGGGAGAAGAAGAAAGUGUUCACGUACAUGAGCGAGCAGGCGGCGGACAGGGACUGCAGUUCAAGUGGGCGCAUCCGGUCUGAAGGCGACCUGUUCCUGAACGGCGCGAAGGAGCACACCGAAAAUGAUUUGGAAACUGCAGAAGACGGCCAGUGGGACUUCAAGGUCCGGGAUUGCUACAGGCCGUGGUCGGUCCAGCCGGCGUCGAUGGCGCUCAAGGAGCUCCUGGAGUCCUGCACCGGCUGGCAGCCGGUUCCGUUGCCGGAAGACGACGUCUGCUUCACAAGAACGCCAGCUGCUGCUGAACCACUCUGA